UAGCUCAGUUGGUAAAGAAUCUGCCUGCAAUGCAGGAGACCCGGGUUCAAUCCCUGG
Molecule: transfer RNA, 57 nt
Filed under: Capra hircus (goat)
Lineage: Eukaryota; Metazoa; Chordata; Mammalia; Artiodactyla; Bovidae
Also listed under: 4 other names
Rfam family: tRNA
About the family: Transfer RNA (tRNA) molecules are approximately 80 nucleotides in length.
Source: Rfam by way of RNAcentral